GAUGAACGCUGGCGGCGUGCCUAAUACAUGCAAGUCGAGCGAACGGACGAGAAGCUUGCUUCUCUGAUGUUAGCGGCGGACGGGUGAGUAACACGUGGAUAACCUACCUAUAAGACUGGGAUAACUUCGGGAAACCGUAGCUAAUACCGGAUAAUAUUUUGAACCGCAUGGUUCAAAAGUGAAAGACGGUCUUGCUGUCACUUAUAGAUGGAUCCGCGCUGCAUUAGCUAGUUGGUAAGGUAACGGCUUACCAAGGCAACGAUGCAUAGCCGACCUGAGAGGGUGAUCGGCCACACUGCAACUGAGACACGGUCCAGACUCCUACGGGAGGCAGCAGUAGGGAAUCUUCCGCAAUGGGCGAAAGCCUGACGGAGCAACGCCGCGUGAGUGAUGAAGGUCUUCGGAUCGUAAAACUCUGUUAUUAGGGAAGAACAUAUGUGUAAGUAACUGUGCACAUCUUGGCGGUACCUAAUCAGAAAGCCACGGCUAACUACGUG
This 497-nucleotide ribosomal RNA is filed under the name uncultured bacterium. RNAcentral's name for it is "partial 16S ribosomal RNA". It matches the Rfam family "Bacterial small subunit ribosomal RNA", at positions 28 to 507 of the family's 1533-position model. The record is from RNAcentral.